Molecule: ribosomal RNA, 484 nt
Filed under: fungal sp. E15606F
Lineage: Eukaryota; Fungi
Description: eukaryotic LSU rRNA
Rfam family: 5.8S ribosomal RNA (bases 151-304)
Source: RNAcentral
UUACCGAGUUUACAACUCCCAAACCCCUGUGAACAUACCUAUAUGUUGCCUCGGCGGAUCAGCCCGCGCCCCGUAAAACGGGACGGCCCGCCGCAGGAACCUAAACUCUGUUUUUAUUGGAACAUCUGAGUAAAAAAACAAAUAAAUCAAAACUUUCAACAACGGAUCUCUUGGUUCUGGCAUCGAUGAAGAACGCAGCAAAAUGCGAUAAGUAAUGUGAAUUGCAGAAUUCAGUGAAUCAUCGAAUCUUUGAACGCACAUUGCGCCCGCCAGUAUUCUGGCGGGCAUGCCUGUUCGAGCGUCAUUUCAACCCUCAAGCCCAGCUUGGUGUUGGGAGCUGUCUGUCUCAGACACUCCCCAAAUUGAUUGGCGGUCACGUCGAGCUUCCAUAGCGUAGUAAUUUACACAUCGUUACUGGUAAUCGUCGCGGCCACGCCGUUAAACCCCAACUUCUGAAUGUUGACCUCGGAUCAGGUAGGAAUAC